AAAAAAUCUCAAAUUUUAUAAUUUUUAUAAUUAUAUCAUUUAAAUUGCAAGCAUGGACAUGGGAUACAGUGGAGAAGAGCAAUUCCUCAAUCAAAAAUUUUCUUAUAUAGCAGCCUUGUUUAUGGGAUAAAUAAGAGUGCACAAGAAAAUUGCAAUCAUGGACAUGAUAGAAACAGAAGCAGGAGGAUCUCAAAAUUCUAAAGCUCUUGUAUAAGUCAUCUAGGUCCUGUCCUACUUCAGAUUAUAAAUCUUCCAACGAAUCAAUGUCAACUUGUCAGCCACAUGCUGAUGGCUUAGGCAUCUGUUCUUAGACGUUUGCAAUUAUCUGGGUCUGGAUUUUCAGAAGCUUCAACUUUAGGUGCCUUAUGCUUCUCACUUGGAUCAUGUGAUCCUUCUUGCAAUAGAGACUUGGCCUCAAUUGUGUCUGUGUUUGUCUUGCCAUGGUCUGACUGGGAGGUUUCCGUUUCAUUUUUGGCAGGGGAAUCAUGGAUUGCAUCGGAAGAUACAGCAGAGGGAUUCUCCAUAGCAGAUGAUGAAGCUUUCAGCUUGUCAGCACCUGAGUUGCACUGCUGUUCAAAUAUCAUUUGGAGGUACCUCCCUUGUUCUUCUAUACGUAACUGUAAAUUUCGUUGAAUCUGCAAAAACAAGGUCAGUGUCAAACUGUAAUCACAAAGGCAACCUGAAAAAUGCAUCUUGUGAGUACAUGAAUGCACACAGCAAGACCAUAUCAACUUGUAUGCAUGGAUGGAUGCCAGUAUCAUAUGUUCCAACGAUAAUGUCAACCAUUGUCACUGGACAUAUAAUUAAACUAGUUGAAAUCCUGCAUAUUGUGCAGGUUUAUUUUAUUUUAUAUAAAUUUUAAUAUUUAUAAUAAACAUAAUUAGAUUUGGAUGCCUAACUUAAAUUUUUAUAGUGAUUCUAAACAGUAAACAUCCAUUCAAAUUUAGUAAUAUAAAAAGAGGGCAAGAAAAUGAUUUGAGUAGAAGGAAGUGAUCCAAUAUUAAAGCGAUUUGAAAUUAAUUGAAUUGAAAUCAUCAAAUUGAUAAUAAGGCAAAAAAUUGUGAAUGCUCACUCUCUUAGGGGCAGGUGAAAUUAAGCCUAUACUUCAAUGCUCCAAAGUAGUAUUUGUGAGACGAGUGCAUUAUAUAAUGCACAAACUGGCCUCAUUGUCUCAAGGUGAAAAGUUAAGACCACCUAUCAAAUCUAAACAGAGUUCUUUUUUUGAGGAACAAAUUUAUACCUCAAGCUGUUCAUGCAGCCGUUUCUGAACUUCCAUCUGUAAUCGCAGAGCUUCAGUAAUCUCAAUACCCCUGCUUUUACAAAAUAAAAAUAGAUCAAAUACACAUUGGGCAGGAUAAUUCAAAGUGAAAUGGCACACAACUGUAAAUAGAUUUCAUUCAGAAACUGAAACUAUUUGAAUAAUGUGACAAUCUUUAAUAAAACAAGAUAAAGUGUUGAAUGUCAAUCCAUCAGAAGGCAAUUCAAGCUUCUAAACCUAAGACAAUUGGCAUCCCAAUUUUUCCGUCUCUGCCACUUUAUAGAUAUUAAAAUAGAGUUAGUAAAACUCAGUUUGUAAAGUCUCAUUUGGAGAUGCUUGACUCUACUUGUCAGUCAAUGAUUUGCCAAAUGCGCUUGAGUUAUAUAUAGGUAUUAAUGAAUGACAGCUUAUUCCCACCAGAAAACAUUCAAAUGCAAACAUAAUAACUCAAUAUUUUUAAGGUCUCCCUCAAAGUCAUAAUUUAGUUGGUUUUCAGGAAGCACAUCAAUUGAAAAUUGGAAUCCAAUUUAUGCAUGGUAGAUGAAUUAUGCUCCUGAGUUGAGCUGCUCAAAAGGGAGGAUAACGGGCACAAACAAGAGACUUUAAAUGCCACAAAAACUACAAGUAAGCUUUGUCAUCAUGCAGAAUUCCAUUCUUCCCCCAUUUUAGGCGCAUUACUCUUCAACUAGAAAUGCAAAUGCUGAAUGGUGUCCUAAUAUUCACAACUAUAACCUUCAAUGAAGAACAUACACGACAAACUCAUUCAGCUGCAUUUCAUAAGAGAUGAGAUUCAGGAGAAGAUAUUAAUACUAGGUCCAAGCAAAAACCUUCUUUAUAGUUUUUGGCCAAUAUUUUAUUUGUAGUUCUUAGGAUCUGACAUCAGGAAGAUUUUAUUGAAUUUGGUCUAACAUGGAGAUUGGUUUAUUGAUUUAAUGAUGGUUUAGAAGAAUUGAAUGGAAAGAAGACAAACAAAAUAUAAGAGAAGGAAGAGAACCUUCCAGAUAGAUAAGAAAUUCUGGUAUCAUUUGUAAUUGUUUGAUCGUUCCUUUUACAACUCAGAUUGCUCUCAUUUACAACAGCUAACAAAAAAGAAGAUAAUUAUUAUUGGUUUGAGUUUAACUAACUGGUAACAGUCAUUGAAAUUUUGACCCCACCUCACAUACAUGCACUCUCAUUUGAAUUCCUAUCAGUUGAAGUGGAAAAGCAGUCUGGCGCAACAAGAUACUGUCAAAUAAUUUUCAAUUUCAAUAACUCCCUACACAUUUGAUUUGACAUAGAUCCCGAAUCUAAACCAAUUAUCCAUAUUUCAUACAGUUAACAAUCAUCUCUUAAAGAAAAAGACAGUUAAAAAUGGCCCUUUCACAACCAGCGUGUCUCUGAAUUGACAGAAGCAAACAGUUAAAGAAAUCUGGAGGCAUGAGCAGCCAAUUUCCAAUGGUUAGAAAUCUUAUGUUUUCUAUUAGAAGUUGCAACCAAGUUUUCAAACAUCUAAGACUAAACCAAAGAAUUAAUGAAAAUCGAUAACUCUGAAUGCAUGUAUUAAUGAUUGAUAGACUUACGUUUUCAAGUCAAGAGACGAUAUUUCUUCCAUAGGAGUCAAUUUUUUCUCUGAGGAUCCUUCUGAUGAGUCUGGUAUGUAUCUGGCUGUCCUGUACUUCUGCAAGUGGCUUUUUACAUGAUAGAUCGUCAAGCCAUCAACUUUCAUGAGCUUCAGCACACCUUUUGGAGUAGCUCCUGUACAUUAAACAAGGGAAAUCAAUUGGAGCUGAAACCUUGCAACUUUAUGGUAAAUUCAGGGGCUGUCUCACGCACUUUCACUACCACCAAGCUGAUUGACAGCCUCCACAAAGGCUUCAUGAAGUUCUGGCGUCCAACGCAUGCGUGGCUUGGAUGGGGCAGUAUUGGCUGAGGAAGUAGGGGUAAGAACAGGACGAAUUUCUCCAGAAGAAGCAGGACACUGUUGAUGAACUUGGGGCUGGUGUGAUGGAACAUUUGAAGAUGGUUUCAACACCUGGUAUGCUGUCUGAAGCAACAAGAUGAGAGCAGGAGAAAACAUAGAGCACACAAAAAGAUAAAUUAAUUGCCUUAUGUCGUGAGAAGGCCCCAACCUUUGUUUCCGUUUCUGAAACACUGGUGUCAAUUAGAAGUUCACUCCAAUUAGACGUCAAAGCAUCGUCAUCGGUGAUCAGCUGUUCUGCCCAUUCCUGCCAAUCACUUCGUUUACUAAAUUCCUCAGAUGCAAUGACACCACAACUGUUGCCUUCUAUUUGAUUAUUUUGGACAGGGUUAUUUACAGGAAAAUCAAGAAAACCAGGCAGUGACUCAGGACACCAUGAAGCAUUGGUUUCUUUGACAUACUGACAUGACGUUGUGGAUUGAAGGAAUCUUGAAUGUGAAGAUUGUGGCAAUGUCAAAGCUGUCACGUUUGUAGAUGAUUGAGAAAUGAAAGGAGUGUUCCUAGAAUGUUUCUCCAGAGGUGAAACAGAAGAGUACUUAAGGUCUGAUGAGAAGCCAGCAGAUGAUGAAAAUAGAUGGCCAACUGCUCCACUGUUAGCGGUUAAUUGACUUGCAUGGACAACAGGCUUUGUCAUAAGACCCCUUUCCAUGGAAACCUGUUGAGAGUCUGAUAAUUUUGGGUAUGUCUCUUCUAGAGAGGUUGGCAGGACCGGCAAAGAUGAAGACAGAGCUGCAGACAGCCCAAGGUUACUCAGCUGCUUUGCACCUGAUCUCUGAAUAGAUAAAGCAGUGCGUGCCUCCAUUGUUGUCCUUCUGAAAGCACCCUUAGUGGUUUUCAAUAUCGAGCCUCCAGAAAGGUCAUCAAUUUACACAUCUAAAACUUCAUAGAAACAAAAGGAAAUUGAAACCCAAAAGCUCAAUCUCAAAUCGAGUUUAGAGGAAGAGAAAGAACGACAGAAACAAUUCUCUAAAGAGACAUGUGGGUCUUUCUCGAAUUGCGUCACCGGCGCGCGAGAGAAGUGAACGGUGAGCAGUGAGCUUUGUCUCUUUUCUUCUUUUUUUUUUCCCUUUGGGUUCUGAGGGCGUGAUAAGGAACAGUGAUUUCCCACGCUCCACUUGGGGAGCGUGUGGAAAAGCAACAGAGAAAGGUUGGGAACAGUGAAUGGUUUAUGAUUGGAGGGUGAUGGAAAGAUCUGAUGGGUUGCACAUGGGAUUACGUCGGCCAUUGACUUGAGUUCUCUUCUUUCAGUUCGCUAAAAGGCCAAAACCGAACAGAAAGCAAACUUAUUAGUUAGAAUUAUAUUAAAUUUUCCUUCUCAAUUUGAUUAAAGGAAUACCAUUUAUGUUAACGAUAAUACAUAUGUUAUACUGAAAUCAUUUUUUUUUAUAAACACGCAAUGGUGGAGCCGCCUUAAAAAAGCGGGUCAACUGAGAAGAAGUCACCUUCCAAAGUGCAGCAACUGCUAAGGUAGAGCUUGACCUCUUCAAUGGCUCUCUCAGAAUCUGCUUCAUACUGAGAAGAAGUCAUAUAAUGCUUGAUUUAAGCAACACAUUCCUGAGGCACAAUCUCAAACUCUCUAAUGUUGUUUAGCUCCACAUUAAUCCUCCACCUCUCAUAAUGGUUCUUCAAGCUAAAGCUAAAGUCGACAUCGCAUGAGCAUUAUUAUACUUACCUCAGGUUUACAGACUUCCGGUCGGUAAUGGUAUCAGAGCCUGUGUGUCCAAGAAGGGGAGAGAAUUCGAGGGAAAAAAAGGCUGGUCAUUGACUAAGUGGCUAUUAGUCCAAUGCAGAGGCUUGUCAA
RNAcentral lists this unclassified non-coding RNA (5016 nucleotides) under Hevea brasiliensis (rubber tree). The record is from RNAcentral. Lineage: Eukaryota; Viridiplantae; Streptophyta; Magnoliopsida; Malpighiales; Euphorbiaceae.